RNAcentral lists this ribosomal RNA (253 nucleotides) under uncultured bacterium. RNAcentral describes it as "partial 16S ribosomal RNA". It matches the Rfam family "Bacterial small subunit ribosomal RNA", at positions 524 to 776 of the family's 1533-position model. The record is from RNAcentral.
UACGUAGGGGGCGAGCGUUGUCCGAAGUUACUGGGCGUAAAGCGCGCGUAGGCGGGCUCUUAAGUGAGGGGUGAAAGGUUCGGGCUCAACCCGAACACUGCCUUUCAUACUGGGAGCCUUGAGUGCGGGAGAGGCGAGUGGAAUGGUCGGUGUAGCGGUGAAAUGCGUAGAUAUCGAUCGGAACACCCAUGGCGAAGGCAGCUCGCUGGCCUGCAACUGACGCUGAGGCGCGAAAGCCAGGGGAGCGAACGGG